RNAcentral lists this ribosomal RNA (629 nucleotides) under uncultured bacterium. Its description in RNAcentral is "bacterial SSU rRNA". It matches the Rfam family "Bacterial small subunit ribosomal RNA", at positions 859 to 1497 of the family's 1533-position model. The record is from RNAcentral.
AUUAAGCACUCCGCCUGGGAGUACGGCGCAAGUUGAACUCAAGAAUUGACGGACCCCGAACAAGCGGUGGAGCAUGUGGAUAAUUCGUCACUAACCGAAGAACUUACCCAGGUUUGACAUCGAGGGCAAGGCCAUGAAAGUGGUCCCUCUAGCAAUAGACCCGAAGACAGGUGUUGCAUGGCUGUCGUCAGCUCGUGUCGUGAGAUGUUGGGUUAAGUCCCGCAACGAGCGCAACCCUCACCGUAUGUUGCCAGCGUAAAGUCGGGAACUCUUACGGAACUGCCCGUGCAAGCGGGAGGAAGGUGGGGAUGACGUCAAGUCGGCAUGGCCCUUACACCUGGGGCUUCACACAUGCUACAAUGGGCGUCAACAGAGGGGUGCGAGGCCGCGAGGUCAAGCGAAUCCCAAAAAUACGUCCUCAGUUCGGAUUGCAGGCUGCAACUCGCCUGCAUGAAGCUGGAAUCGCUAGUAACCGCAGGUCAGCUAUACUGCGGUGAAUACGUUCCCGGGGUUUGUACACACCGCCCGUCAAGUCACCUGAAUUGUCUGCACCCGAAGCCGGUGGCCUAACCGUAAGGAAGGAGCCGUCUAAGGUGUGGGGAGUAAGGGGGACUAAGUCGUAACAAGGU